This 497-nucleotide ribosomal RNA is filed under the name uncultured bacterium. RNAcentral's name for it is "partial 16S ribosomal RNA". It matches the Rfam family "Bacterial small subunit ribosomal RNA", at positions 28 to 507 of the family's 1533-position model. The record is from RNAcentral.
GAUGAACGCUGGCGGCGUGCCUAAUACAUGCAAGUCGAGCGAACGGACGAGAAGCUUGCUCCUCUGAUGUUAGCGGCGGACGGGUGAGUAACACGUGGAUAACCUACCUAUAAGACUGGGAUAACUUCGGGAAACCGGAGCUAAUACCGGAUAAUAUAUUGAACCGCAUGGUUCAAUAGUGAAAGACGGUUUUGCUGUCACUUAUAGAUGGAUCCGCGCUGCAUUAGCUAGUUGGUAAGGUAACGGCUUACCAAGGCAACGAUGCAUAGCCGACCUGAGAGGGUGAUCGGCCACACUGGAACUGAGACACGGUCCAGACUCCUACGGGAGGCAGCAGUAGGGAAUCUUCCGCAAUGGGCGAAAGCCUGACGGAGCAACGCCGCGUGAGUGAUGAAGGUCUUCGGAUCGUAAAACUCUGUUAUUAGGGAAGAACAAAUGUGUAAGUAACUAUGCACAUCUUGACGGUACCUAAUCAGAAAGCCACGGCUAACUACGUG